GGUAUGUAAAGCUCUAUCAGCAGGAAAGAAAAUGACGGUACCUGACUAAGAAGCCCCGGCUAACUACGUGCCAGCAGCCGCGGUAAUACGUAGGGGGCAAGCGUUAUCCGGAUUUACUGGGUGUAAAGGGAGCGUAGACGGUUUUGCAAGUCUGAAGUGAAAGCCCGGGGCUUAACCCCGGGACUGCUUUGGAAACUGUAGAACUAGAGUGCAGGAGAGGUAAGUGGAAUUCCUAGUGUAGCGGUGAAAUGCGUAGAUAUUAGGAGGAACACCAGUGGCGAAGGCGGCUUACUGGACUGUAACUGACGUUGAGGCUCGAAAGCGUGGGGAGCAAACAGGAUUAGAUACCCUGGUAGUCCACGCCGUAAACGAUGAUUAUUAGUGUGUUGGGGGUACGACCCAUCGGUGCCGCAGCAAACGCAAUAAGUAAUCCACCUGGGGAGUA
Molecule: ribosomal RNA, 445 nt
Filed under: uncultured bacterium
Lineage: Bacteria
Description: bacterial SSU rRNA
Rfam family: Bacterial small subunit ribosomal RNA
Source: RNAcentral